Molecule: ribosomal RNA, 253 nt
Filed under: uncultured bacterium
Lineage: Bacteria
Description: partial 16S ribosomal RNA
Rfam family: Bacterial small subunit ribosomal RNA
Source: RNAcentral
GACGGAGGGUGCUAGCGUUGUUCGGAAUCAUUGGGCGUAAAGAGCGUGUAGGCGGCUCGAUAAGUCUGCUGUGAAAGUCCAGGGCUCAACCCUGGAAGGCCGGUGGAAACUGUCGGGCUAGAGUCCGGAAGAGGCGAGUGGAAUUCCCGGUGUAGCGGUGAAAUGCGCAGAUAUCGGGAGGAACACCAGUGGCGAAGGCGGUUGCCUGGGGCUUUGCUGACGCUGAGGCGCGAAAGCGUGGGGAGCGAUCCGG